AACGAACGCUGGCGGCAUGCCUAACACAUGCAAGUCGAACGAGACCUUCGGGUCUAGUGGCGCACGGGUGCGUAACGCGUGGGAACCUGCCCUUAGGUUCGGAAUAACUCCCUGAAAGGGGUGCUAAUACCGGAUAAUGUCUUCGGACCAAAGAUUUAUCGCCUUUGGAUGGGCCCGCGUUGGAUUAGCUAGUUGGUAGGGUAAAAGCCUACCAAGGCGACGAUCCAUAGCUGGUCUGAGAGGAUGAUCAGCCACACUGGGACUGAGACACGGCCCAGACUCCUACGGGAGGCAGCAGUGGGGAAUAUUGGACAAUGGGCGAAAGCCUGAUCCAGCAGUGCCGCGUGAGUGAUGAAGGCCUUAGGGUUGUAAAGCUCUUUUACCCGGGAUGAUAAUGACAGUACCGGGAGAAUAAGCACCGGCUAACUCCGUG
Molecule: ribosomal RNA, 433 nt
Filed under: uncultured bacterium
Lineage: Bacteria
Description: partial 16S ribosomal RNA
Rfam family: Bacterial small subunit ribosomal RNA
Source: RNAcentral